GACGAACGCUGGCGGCGUGCUUAACACAUGCAAGUCGAACGGAAAGGCCCUGCUUUUGUGGGGUGCUCGAGUGGCGAACGGGUGAGUAACACGUGAGUAACCUGCCCUUGACUUUGGGAUAACUUCAGGAAACUGGGGCUCAUACCGGAUAGGAGCUCCUGCUGCAUGGUGGGGGUUGGAAAGUUUCGGCGGUUGGGGAUGGACUCGCGGCUUAUCAGCUUGUUGGUGGGGUAGUGGCUUACCAAGGCUUUGACGGGUAGCCGGCCUGAGAGGGUGACCGGCCACAUUGGGACUGAGAUACGGACCAGACUCCUACGGGAGGCAGCAGUGGGGAAUAUUGCACAAUGGGCGGAAGCCUGAUGCAGCAACGCCGCGUGCGGGAUGACGGCCUUCGGGUUGUAAACCGCUUUCGCCUGUGACGAAGCGUGAGUGACGGUAAUGGGUAAAGAAGCACCGGCUAACUACGUG
RNAcentral lists this ribosomal RNA (468 nucleotides) under uncultured bacterium. Its description in RNAcentral is "partial 16S ribosomal RNA". It matches the Rfam family "Bacterial small subunit ribosomal RNA", at positions 28 to 507 of the family's 1533-position model. The record is from RNAcentral.